GAUGAACGCUGGCGGCGUGCCUAAUACAUGCAAGUCGAGCGAACAGACGAGGAGCUUGCUCCUCUGACGUUAGCGGCGGACGGGUGAGUAACACGUGGAUAACCUACCUAUAAGACUGGGAUAACUUCGGGAAACCGGAGCUAAUACCGGAUAAUAUAUUGAACCUCAUGGUUCAAUAGUUAAAGACGGUUUUUCGGUCACUUAUAGAUGGAUCCGCGCCGCAUUAGCUAGUUGGUAAGGUAACGGCUUAACAACGCAACGAUGCGUAGCCGACCUGAGAGCGUGAUCGGCCACACGGGAACUGAGACACGGUCCAGACUCCUACGGGAGGCAGCAGUCGGGAAUCUUACGCAAAGGGCGAAAGCCUGACGGAGCACCGCCGAGUGAGUGAUGAAGGUCUUCGGAUCGUAAAACUCUGUUAUUAGGGAAGAACAAAUGUGUAAGUAACUAUGCACGUCUUGACGGUACCUAAUCAGAAAGCCACGGCUAACUACGUG
Molecule: ribosomal RNA, 497 nt
Filed under: uncultured bacterium
Lineage: Bacteria
Description: partial 16S ribosomal RNA
Rfam family: Bacterial small subunit ribosomal RNA
Source: RNAcentral